RNAcentral lists this ribosomal RNA (296 nucleotides) under uncultured bacterium. RNAcentral describes it as "partial 16S ribosomal RNA". It matches the Rfam family "Bacterial small subunit ribosomal RNA", at positions 775 to 1067 of the family's 1533-position model. The record is from RNAcentral.
GGAUUAGAUACCCUGGUAGUCCACGCCGUAAACGAUGUCGGCUAGACGCUGGGCAGCAAGCUGUUCGGUGUCGGCGCUAACGCAUUAAGCCGACCGCCUGGGGAGUACGGCCGCAAGGUUAAAACUCAAAGGAAUUGACGGGGGCCCGCACAAGCGGUGGAGCAUGUGGUUUAAUUCGAUGCAACGCGCAGAACCUUACCAGCCCUUGACAUGGGACGUUUGGGUUCCGGAGACGGAAUUCUUCAGUUCGGCUGGCGUCCACACAGGUGCUGCAUGGCUGUCGUCAGCUCGUGCCG